Trichonephila clavipes is the source of this 74-nucleotide non-coding RNA. The record is from the annotation of a GenBank genome assembly. NCBI's taxonomy places the organism in Eukaryota, Metazoa, Arthropoda, Arachnida, Araneae, Nephilidae.
GUCCCUGCAGCGCAAUGGAUAGCGCGUUGGAUCUAAUCCAAAGAUCGUGAGUUCAAGUCCCACUCCCUGGGAUU